GCCUGUUUAUUAAAAACAUGGUUUUUUGAAUAUAAUUUAAGAUUUGACCUGCUCAAUGAUAUUUAAAUAGCUGCAGUAUUUUAACUGUACGAAGGUAGCAUAAUCAUUUGUUAUUUAAUUGAUAACUAGUAUGAAAGGUUGGACAAGGAAUUAACUGUUUCUAUAUUAAUUUUAAAUAAUUUUAUUUUUAAGUUAAAAAGCUUAAAUUUUUUUAAAAGACGAGAAGACCCUAUAGAAUUUUAUAUAAUAAUUAUAGUUUUAAAUUAGUAAUUUUAUAAAAUUAUAUAUUUUAUAUUUGAUUGGGGCGAUUGAAAAAUUUGAUAAACUUUUUUAAUAUAAAAGCAUUAAUGAAUGUUUUUUUGAUUCAAAAAAAUGAUUAAUAGAAUAAAUUACCUUAGGGAUAACAGCGUAAUUUCUAAUAAAGAUCUUAUUGAAAUAGAAGAUUGCGACCUCGAUGUUGGAUUAAAAUUAAUUUAAGGUGAAGGAGCUUUAAGAUUAGGUCUGUUCGACCUUUAAAAUUUUACAUGAUCUGAGUUCAGACCGG
Molecule: ribosomal RNA, 544 nt
Filed under: Aceraius grandis
Lineage: Eukaryota; Metazoa; Arthropoda; Insecta; Coleoptera; Passalidae
Description: partial 16S ribosomal RNA
Rfam family: Bacterial large subunit ribosomal RNA
Source: RNAcentral